ACUCGCGAAUGCAUCAGAUGAUUAUUGAUCAUGGCUCAGAAUUGCACGCUGGNUUGACCAGCUUAACACAUGCAAGUCGAGCGGGGAAGGGUAGCUUGCUACCUAACCUAGCGGCGGACGGGUGAGUAAUGCUUAGGAAUCUGCCAUUUAGUGGGGGACAACAUUCCGAAAGGAAUGCUAAUACCGCAUACGUCCUACGGGAGAAAGCAGGGGAUCUUCGGACCUUGCGCUAAAUGAUGAGCCUAAGUCGGAUUAGCUAGUUGGUGGGGUAAAGGCCUACCAAGGCGACGAUCUGUAGCGGGUCUAGAGAGGAUGAUCCGCCACACUGGGACUGAGACACGGCCCAGACUCCUACGGGAGGCAGAUGGGGAAUUGGACUGGGGG
RNAcentral lists this ribosomal RNA (384 nucleotides) under uncultured bacterium. RNAcentral's name for it is "bacterial SSU rRNA". It matches the Rfam family "Bacterial small subunit ribosomal RNA", at positions 1 to 377 of the family's 1533-position model. The record is from RNAcentral.